AGAUUUUUUUUGACACUGACGUUAGUAAUUUCUUUUUUGAAAAAUUCAGUUGUCAGAAGUGUCUGGAAAUUACUACAAAACCAACGCACCUGCUCAUAUCCAAUAUUAUUAAUAGUAAACAGACAUAAAAAUAACAUAAACCUUACGCCAAUCAAUAUUUAUUUAUUUAAACCAUUAUAAUGUAUUGAUAGCAAAUGAGAAAAUUAUUUAUUGUACAAAAUAAAAAUAUUUUGUAGAAAUAAACUUCACAAAAUUUUAUGAGAUUAGUAGACACUCCCACUAUUUCUAAUAAUUCUUCUUUUUUUAAUGAAAGAUUAAGUUGAUUUGAGUUGAUUUUAGCAGUUAAUAGUGUGAGGUAGGAAUUUUUGUGUUGUAGGUUUCCUAUUCCGAAUGUCUCAAAAAAAAUCUCGCGAGAGCGAAUGUAGUAUAUAUAGGUCUGUUCCUUUGUUUUUUAGUGUUACACUUUUGAGUGUAAGUGUACGAAAUUCUAUGGACAUUCGAGUGUAAAAUGACAGCGGAUGUGACAGCGGCUCAUGACAGCGGACAGUAUUAAAGGAAAAUUAUCGGUGUGCCAAUCAAGCAAAGGGACAAGGAACUUCCGAAUAUGGCCUAACUGGGGGCACAUAACAUAACAUAACCUAAUCCUAAUAUUUACAUUUGUAAAGAAUAUCCUGUUUGUUUUUAUUGUCGAUUGUGCAGCGAAAUUGUGUGCAGCAAAUCAAAUAUAAAGUAGUUUAUCGCCUACAGAACUGAAUUAGUCCAUAGCAGUUAUCAGUUUUUCUUUCUUGUGAAGCUUAUACAUGUAACUUGUAUUGUUGUAAAUUGUGGGAGUAGGGCAGACAGGGAAAAGUCUUAUUUUGUACUGUUCCCAAGGCUCCCCAUGCAAUACAUUUAAAUGAAUUAUCCAAACAAAGCCGGGGACAAUGGAUAAAAGCCACAAGAAGAACAGAUAUAAGGGAACUAAAAUUAAAAUAUGAAAAGUAAACAUUUUAUAAGUGGAACAACCACCAGAUAUUUAAAAGGUAUAAAAAGAAGAAACUGCUGGAAUUUCAAAACAAAUGUGUUUGACUAGUAAAGAUUUGGAUAAAUAACAGGAGUUACUUUGGGCUAUAGCUACGUGCAGAUUUAUUUCCUUGUGGCUUCCUAUGUUAAUUCUUAUUAAUUAUACACUUAAAUAUGUUUUUAGUCUCAGGAAGAUUUUAUAUUUGAUUAUUUUUGAAUAAACAUUAUUAUUAUUAUUACCUUAAUUUCCAUUAAAUAAAUUAACUGUAAUCAAUAAAGUAAUCGUUUAAUUGUUAAUAAAUUAUCAAGUAUGA
This is a long non-coding RNA of Diabrotica virgifera virgifera (western corn rootworm), 1316 nucleotides long. RefSeq lists it as uncharacterized. The record is from RefSeq and is a predicted model, not a curated record. NCBI's taxonomy places the organism in Eukaryota, Metazoa, Arthropoda, Insecta, Coleoptera, Chrysomelidae. The transcript has 2 exons.